GUGCCUAAAUGAAACUGGCCUUACAUGCGCUGGAGACACGCCUGUGGAUGAACCUGCUGUGGUGGGAUUCUUGCGAGUUCUGGCGUGCCUCUUGAGUUACGUUUUCACCACCGCUCCCAGUCAAGUUACACAAUCUCUGGGUUGCGGUUUCAUCAUAAUCCUCACCAAUCUUUUUGGGGCUGCUGGAUCU
Non-coding RNA from Dermacentor albipictus, 190 nucleotides. The record is from RefSeq and is a predicted model, not a curated record. NCBI's taxonomy places the organism in Eukaryota, Metazoa, Arthropoda, Arachnida, Ixodida, Ixodidae.